AGGUGAUCCAACCGCAGGUUCCCCUACGGUUACCUUGUUACGACUUCACCCCAGUCAUGAAUCACAAAGUGGUAAGCGCCCUCCCGAAGGUUAAGCUACCUACUUCUUUUGCAACCCACUCCCAUGGUGUGACGGGCGGUGUGUACAAGGCCCGGGAACGUAUUCACCGUGGCAUUCUGAUCCACGAUUACUAGCGAUUCCGACUUCAUGGAGUCGAGUUGCAGACUCCAAUCCGGACUACGACGCACUUUAUGAGGUCCGCUUGCUCUCGCGAGGUCGCUUCUCUUUGUAUGCGCCAUUGUAGCACGUGUGUAGCCCUGGUCGUAAGGGCCAUGAUGGCUUGACGUCAUCCCCACCUUCCUCCAGUUUAUCACUGGCAGUCUCCUUUGAGUUCCCGGCCGGACCGCUGGCAACAAAGGAUAAGGGUUGCGCUCGUUGCGGGACUUAACCCAACAUUUCACAACACGAGCUGACGACAGCCAUGCAGCACCUGUCUCACGGUUCCCGAAGGCACAUUCUCAUCUCUGAAAACUUCCGUGGAUGUCAAGACCAGGUAAGGUUCUUCGCGUUGCAUCGAAUUAAACCACAUGCUCCACCGCUUGUGCGGGCCCCCGUCAAUUCAUUUGAGUUUUAACCUUGCGGCCGUACUCCCCAGGCGGUCGACUUAACGCGUUAGCUCCGGAAGCCACGCCUCAAGGGCACAACCUCCAAGUCGACAUCGUUUACGGCGUGGACUACCAGGGUAUCUAAUCCUGUUUGCUCCCCACGCUUUCGCACCUGAGCGUCAGUCUUCGUCCAGGGGGCCGCCUUCGCCACCGGUAUUCCUCCAGAUCUCUACGCAUUUCACCGCUACACCUGGAAUUCUACCCCCCUCUACGAGACUCAAGCUUGCCAGUAUCAGAUGCAGUUCCCAGGUUGAGCCCGGGGAUUUCACAUCUGACUUAACAAACCGCCUGCGUGCGCUUUACGCCCAGUAAUUCCGAUUAACGCUUGCACCCUCCGUAUUACCGCGGCUGCUGGCACGGAGUUAGCCGGUGCUUCUUCUGCGGGUAACGUCAAUGAGCAAAGGUAUUAACUUUACUCCCUUCCUCCCCGCUGAAAGUACUUUACAACCCGAAGGCCUUCUUCAUACACGCGGCAUGGCUGCAUCAGGCUUGCGCCCAUUGUGCAAUAUUCCCCACUGCUGCCUCCCGUAGGAGUCUGGACCGUGUCUCAGUUCCAGUGUGGCUGGUCAUCCUCUCAGACCAGCUAGGGAUCGUCGCCUAGGUGAGCCGUUACCCCACCUACUAGCUAAUCCCAUCUGGGCACAUCCGAUGGCAAGAGGCCCGAAGGUCCCCCUCUUUGGUCUUGCGACGUUAUGCGGUAUUAGCUACCGUUUCCAGUAGUUAUCCCCCUCCAUCAGGCAGUUUCCCAGACAUUACUCACCCGUCCGCCACUCGUCAGCGAAACAGCAAGCUGUUUCCUGUUACCGUUCGACUUGCAUGUGUUAGGCCUGCCGCCAGCGUUCAAUCUGAGCCAUGAUCAAACUCU
RNAcentral lists this ribosomal RNA (1530 nucleotides) under Shigella sonnei 4822-66. RNAcentral's name for it is "16S ribosomal RNA". Lineage: Bacteria; Pseudomonadati; Pseudomonadota; Gammaproteobacteria; Enterobacterales; Enterobacteriaceae. The record is from RNAcentral.